Molecule: ribosomal RNA, 787 nt
Filed under: Streptomyces sp. 0909CI34F_2
Lineage: Bacteria; Bacillati; Actinomycetota; Actinomycetes; Kitasatosporales; Streptomycetaceae
Description: bacterial SSU rRNA
Rfam family: Bacterial small subunit ribosomal RNA
Source: RNAcentral
GGCGAACGGGUGAGUAACACGUGGGCAAUCUGCCCUUCACUCUGGGACAAGCCCUGGAAACGGGGUCUAAUACCGGAUAACACUCCUGCCUGCAUGGGCGGGGGUUAAAAGCUCCGGCGGUGAAGGAUGAGCCCGCGGCCUAUCAGCUUGUUGGUGGGGUAAUGGCCCACCAAGGCGACGACGGGUAGCCGGCCUGAGAGGGCGACCGGCCACACUGGGACUGAGACACGGCCCAGACUCCUACGGGAGGCAGCAGUGGGGAAUAUUGCACAAUGGGCGAAAGCCUGAUGCAGCGACGCCGCGUGAGGGAUGACGGCCUUCGGGUUGUAAACCUCUUUCAGCAGGGAAGAAGCGAAAGUGACGGUACCUGCAGAAGAAGCGCCGGCUAACUACGUGCCAGCAGCCGCGGUAAUACGUAGGGCGCAAGCGUUGUCCGGAAUUAUUGGGCGUAAAGAGCUCGUAGGCGGCUUGUCACGUCGGAUGUGAAAGCCCGAGGCUUAACCUCGGGUCUGCAUUCGAUACGGGCUAGCUAGAGUGUGGUAGGGGAGAUCGGAAUUCCUGGUGUAGCGGUGAAAUGCGCAGAUAUCAGGAGGAACACCGGUGGCGAAGGCGGAUCUCUGGGCCAUUACUGACGCUGAGGAGCGAAAGCGUGGGGAGCGAACAGGAUUAGAUACCCUGGUAGUCCACGCCGUAAACGUUGGGAACUAGGUGUUGGCGACAUUCCACGUCGUCGGUGCCGCAGCUAACGCAUUAAGUUCCCCGCCUGGGGAGUACGGCCGCAAGGCUA